This 205-nucleotide ribosomal RNA is filed under the name uncultured bacterium. RNAcentral's name for it is "partial 16S ribosomal RNA". It matches the Rfam family "Bacterial small subunit ribosomal RNA", at positions 568 to 774 of the family's 1533-position model. The record is from RNAcentral.
AGCGCAGGUGGUUGUAUAAGUCUGAAGUAAAAGGCAGUGGCUCGACCAUUGUGUGCUUUGGAAACUGUACAACUUGAGUGCAAAAGGGGAGAGUGGAAUUCCAUGUGUAGCGGUGAAAUGCGUAGAUAUAUGGAGGAACACCGGUGGCGAAAGCGGCUCUCUGGUCUGUAACUGACACUGAGGCUCGAAAGCGUGGGAGCAAACA